CAAAGCAGUAUAAAUAGCGAGAGAGAGCAUGUGACGAACCCAGAACUGAAUGUGGUCCAAUCCUGGGCUGAGUGUGUGUGAUGUGUUUACUGUCAGCAGCACCUGCGCGGAGACGUUUGCCCAGCUACUGUCCAGGAAAGGUGUUAGAGCACAGAAAUGGGGAUAUUAAGGUUGCGUCUUAGAAACUAAUUUUAUCCCCACUUAGAAAGUUCGCUGACCACGCAGUUACCAAGAAAAGGACUAGAUGUGCUUAAGUGUCAUUGAAGAGAAGUAGAGACUGAUGGUUAUAAAACAGGCUAAGUUCAUCCAGGAUGGAGACCAAAAGGGCCACAGGCAUUCAGAGGCCUGAGCGACCAUGAAGGGCUGAAGCCAUCGAGAAGUGCCUCACCGAGGGUGUGGGGCACGGGUGGGCCUAACCUUUCCCCAGACUCACCCUCUCUCCCCCGACUGUUUGCUCCUUUCCCAACAGUCGCUCUCCACUUUUUUAAAUUAGUAAAACGACCCCAAAGUGGCAAUGUGCCUGGCUAAAGACUACAUUUCCCAGCCUCCAUGAGAUCUAAGGAGAUGUUAUUGGGUGUGCUGUGUUGCCAGAUAAAGUAUGGUCUAUCCAGUUAAUUUUUAGUUUCAGAUAAACAAGAAAUAAUUUUUAAUAUAAGUAUGUCCCAUGUAACAUAUUAGUAUCUUUAUUUGCCAAAUCUGGCAAUUCUAUGGGUGAAACAUCAGGAAACAAGGUAGGAUACUCUUUGUGCCCUCCCCACCCCCUCUCUUUCCUUCCUGGGACAUGGAUGGAAUGGCUGGGAUUUCAGCAACCAUUUUGGAUCCUAAGGUUAGAUGGCAGAAGAGGAGGACAGAAAACUUGGGUCCCUAAUGGCCGCACACCUUCUGACUUCAUAUGUGAGAAGAAACCACUGAUUUGCUUUAGCCACAAAUAAUACCUGUUAUUUGUAUCCAAUUGCUAUUCCUGACUGAUGUAGCCAUAAUAAAAAGUGCUCUGUUA
This is a long non-coding RNA of Phyllostomus hastatus (greater spear-nosed bat), 997 nucleotides long. RefSeq lists it as uncharacterized. The transcript is spliced from 2 exons. NCBI's taxonomy places the organism in Eukaryota, Metazoa, Chordata, Mammalia, Chiroptera, Phyllostomidae. The record is from RefSeq and is a predicted model, not a curated record.